RNAcentral lists this unclassified non-coding RNA (322 nucleotides) under Hevea brasiliensis (rubber tree). Lineage: Eukaryota; Viridiplantae; Streptophyta; Magnoliopsida; Malpighiales; Euphorbiaceae. The record is from RNAcentral.
GCAAUACUUGUGCCACGUACCAAAAGAUAAGGGGGACGCUAGAAAGUGACUUAAGCACCAAAUUAUAAGACCAUAUAAUAUAUAGAGCAUUGGCAAGAUUUAGCGGUCACCUAAUACUGAUAAAAAUGGUUGCUAAACUAUUAUUAUAUUAUUAGACCAUUAUUAUUCUGCAGCCAAGACCUUAGAGGCCAUUACGCGAAGCUAGAUUCUGCCUAGUGCUAUAUCUUAUUCUAAUUGACCAGAAACGAAUAUAAAUCAUUAGGGCAUGAAGUGGCUGUUCCCAAGACUUGCACUUAAUCCCUCUGUGGUCACCAUAAUAUUA